AAGAAGAGAGCUUGUCAAGAUAGCCAAGGAUACUGCCUACCACCUUUGUAUUUUUGAUUAAGAGUGUAAUUAAUUACUCUUAAUCAAAAUCUUAUUACUAAUCAAGAGGUAGGCAAGUCAUCCUUGGCUACCAAACAAUUAUAUAACUCUCAACU
Molecule: non-coding RNA, 155 nt
Organism: Beta vulgaris subsp. vulgaris (sugar beet)
Lineage: Eukaryota; Viridiplantae; Streptophyta; Magnoliopsida; Caryophyllales; Amaranthaceae
Source: Rfam